GACACACAAAUCCUCCUCACCAGAAACAUGACUCUGAUCUGCGUCCUCAUCUGGACUCUCCUCUGCUGCUGCUUCACAGGUAAAGUCCAGAGAAUACAACUCCUCUCCUCUAUCAACAUCCGUCCCUCUCAAAUCAAGCCCACAGAACCAUGACGCUGCUUUCUCUUUGUGUCUCUGUAUCCUCAGAGUCCAGAGGACAGGUCACAGUGACUCAGUCUGGAGCAGUGAGCUCUGCUCUGGGAGGCUCCGUCACCAUCAGCUGUAAGACCAAUGCAGCAGUUUAUUACUUUCCUGCUUAUUCUCACUAUUUACACUGGUACCAACAGAAAGAUGGAGGAGUUCCCAAACUGCUCAUUAAGUAUGUUAAUCAGCGAUUGUCAGGGAUUCCAGAUCGUUUUACAGGCAGUGGAUCAAACUCUGACUUCACUCUGACCAUCAGUGGAGUCCAGACUGAAGAUGCAGCAGUUUAUUACUGUCAGAGUGCUCACUACAUCAACAGUCAGUGGUUGUUCACACAGUGA
Molecule: non-coding RNA, 521 nt
Organism: Acanthochromis polyacanthus (spiny chromis)
Lineage: Eukaryota; Metazoa; Chordata; Actinopteri; Pomacentridae
Source: the annotation of a RefSeq genome assembly